CCGGGGUGGAGUAAUGUCUGGGAAACUGCCUGAUGGAGGGGGAUAACUACUGGAAACGGUAGCUAAUACCGCAUAACGUCUUCGGACCAAAGUGGGGGGACUUCGGGCCUCACGCCAUCGGAUGUGCCCAGAUGGGAUUAGCUAGUAGGUGGGGUAAUGGCUCACCUAGGCGACGAUCCCUAGCUGGUCUGAGAGGAUGACCAGCCACACUGGAACUGAGACACGGUCCAG
This 231-nucleotide ribosomal RNA is filed under the name uncultured bacterium. RNAcentral describes it as "partial 16S ribosomal RNA". It matches the Rfam family "Bacterial small subunit ribosomal RNA", at positions 104 to 334 of the family's 1533-position model. The record is from RNAcentral.